Molecule: non-coding RNA, 15870 nt
Organism: Bactrocera oleae (olive fruit fly)
Lineage: Eukaryota; Metazoa; Arthropoda; Insecta; Diptera; Tephritidae
Source: RefSeq, a predicted model, not a curated record
CUUGUAUAACUAGAACUUACACAUUCGGUGGUAUAUCCUAUCGUACGCGAGCAAUUCCCUACUGUGUUUCAAUGCGAGUGCAUGAAUAUAUACAUAAGUGCAUGUAUGAAAUGCAUUGCCGGCGUUGGCAUAACAACAUGUAUGUACUUAUGUAUGAAAAUACAUGCACAUGUCAUGUAGGUAGAGCGAGUUAUUUUGCUGACUAAAAACCAUUUGGUGAACCAUGGCUCCAAUUUUCGCUGAAUGGUGAGAACAGCUUUUGGAAACAAUAACUCGUACCAGCUCAUGCCGCAUUCAGCGAAGUUAGUACGAUUGUUACGAUUGUAAUUAUAGCAAGUGUUUCCUUGAACGUCAGAUGCCGGGAUCUGUUUCAAUAUAAUAUAUAAGUAUAAUAUAAUAUAUAAAAGUAUGUGAAUGUCUCUCGUGCACAAUUUUUGCUUCUAAGAAUUUUAAUAAAUUCGUUUCAAAAAUGUCUUCAAGGAAAUAUAAUUGACAUUAGAUCAAAACUUUAAUAAAAAUUAAUAAAGCAUGUAAAUAUGUAUGAAUGCACAUAUGUAUUUAUAUGAAACAAAUGUUUGGGGUUUCAUUAUCAAUUUGUGAGCAAUAUCCCUUGUUUGCUGGGCCAGUGAGAAAACACAGUCGAGAAGCAACUGUGAGUGCUCAGUUGUAAGUGUGUGAGUAUCAGACAUGAAUUUGUGGCUUUGCGCAUUCACAUGCUAACGUAUGGAUCGGUUUGUAAGUGAGCUUGUUAAUGUGUUUCCGAUAUCAACAUCAGUAACCACAAUGCCCAACUUCUGCGACAAUAAGAUCAGAACAAAACGAAGUAAGCAAUAAUAAAAUAUCAAAAACUGCUGUUUAACGAACAGUGUCGUCUUUUAUGUACUAUUGAACGAAGGAAAGCCAAUUGGUCGGCAUUUGUUGAUUGAAACGGGAAAUCAUCGUGAUCCCACUCACAAGGCAAGAUCUGUUAAACGUUAUUAUUUUGUCAGACACGACGAAAGUAAAUUACAUACUCGUAUGUACAUACAUACAUACAUACGAUCGUUCAAAAGUAAUAAGCGAGUGACAAAAACACAUAAGCUUACGUAGAUUUAAGUAUGUAAAUAUGUAUGUAUGUGUUGAUACGAUCGUAAGUGAACUCCAGUUCGUGAUCGGGUGUGUAUGGUGAAUUUGAGAAAUAGACGAUCGUACAAUUUUAAAUAAGCAAGUAAUACUCACGUGGAUGAGUACAUUUAUUUAUUUAUGCACAGCAAUAGAAAUACAUUCAUUAUCACAUUAACACGAAUACAAUAUUUUACGAAGGCAAAGCUGGCCGAAUGACGCUUUUAAACACUUAAUUGUCAGAAAAAAAUAUUGCUAAUUUAAGCACACAGUCUUGUAUUUGAGUACGUACAUUUGCUAACACCGCAUACAAAGGGAGCGGAAAGAGUACGCUGUAAUAUAUGUACAUACAUAUACAUAUGUGUGUAAAGCACAUGAAGCUCACCAACCUGCUAGCAAAGGUUAGUUGAGCUCUCGAUCUCUUCUACCUCAUAACGUACUCGCUUGCUCCCUGAUUACUUUUCAUAGACUAUUCAUAUAAAUAUCCAUAUACACACACAUACACGCAGCACAUCUGCAUACAUUUGAACGGUUUAUUAAGAUAAGUAUCUGAACAAUAGAGGCCCCACACUCCUGAGCGCUAGUACCCGACCUCUUUCACGCUUAUUUCCCAUUCAAUUAGCUACAUACACGUUUAUUAGUAUGUAUGUGUGUAGUAAGUGACUGUCAGUGGCAGAGCCAUCAGUAACAUUCAUGAGUAAAAUGUUUAUACAUACAUACUUAUGUAUGUCGAUAUAUGGAGACAACGCCAACCAAGCAACAUUGAUGACAAUAUGUAUAAAUGUGUGUAUUACAAAUGGACGUAAAUACUCGUAUGUAUAUAUGGAUAGGUUAGUAAUGAAAUAAGCUCUUUAGGCCGCAGUCAUCAGUAGUUUUCGUUUUCGUUUUCAUUUAUUUUGUACUUGUAGUGAGUAUCGAGCGAGCGCCACCAGUAGAUCUAUCGGAGUCCGUGUUUGAAUCGUCGCCAUAGCUGGACCUGUUGACAGAGACACAAGCAAGUCUAGAACAAUCACUAUCGCUGAACCGUUUGAUUGUAUACGGAUUCUGCAGUUUCUCGCAAUCGACACAAUUUCUCCUCGAUCAUUUUUGUUUUGACCUCGUGUACGAACGACACGGUUGCGGUGGUGGUUGGAUUCAGCCAAAAGUUUUACUAAAAUGAUGGUCUCAUUUCGCUGUGCGAAGCAUUGCUUCGUUGUAUUAAAAUUGCUCCUUUAACGUGCGUAAUCGUUUCAUAGACGCUCACCGAAAACCCCAACUACUGACAAAAACAAAUCACACGCAGACUCUAGAUGAUAAAAGAUUGUUAGUGUAGCCUCAGUGAAUGUCCAUUUGUCGAUAUAUGUACAUAUGUACGAGUAUCUGGAGAAUGUGCGCCUAAUUAUUUUACACGCUAGUGUUUUUUCGUUUCAGGAGUCAAGAAUUUGAAAUACCCAGUUUGAUUAAUAAAUAAGUGCAUUUUAAUUCAAGCAACUCUGUUUAAAACUCUAACAAAUAUUACACGAUAAUAAAUACGUGUGUAUUUACAUUAAGUGAACAUUUAGUAGUUUGAGAAACUAGCGGAAACGACAAUUAAAUCACGCCCUUACUAACUGGCCGAGCUCAUAACGACAGUGUCAACAAUUCAACAGCAAAAAGUAAAAACAAUAACAACCAUGAAAUAAACAACAAAUGUGUGCAGAAGUGAACUUAUCAUAUUAACAAAUACAGUGUAGAAUAUAUUAUAAAAUACAUAGCUAAAAAAGUUAAACACACAUGAGCAGUGAACAAGAUUACGCUUAUAGCAUUGUAUAGACAAAUCACCAUUUUGACUAGCGUUUCUUCGCAGUGACGAAUUAUUAACAAAACGAAAAACCCAUUUCAGAAAGUAAUCGAGUGAUGAGCGAGUCGGAAUAAUUUCAAAACACCACAUUUUCGGAGAGCGUAGUCUGUUUAAUAUUUUCCACAAAUUAUCAUAUCAGUCUGAAAUAAGAAGUAAGAAAAAGAAGUAAAAACGCUACACAAUCUGAAAAAGUAAAAAAAAGUGCAAGUAAAUAAAUCUGAAUAUUCGGUGUAAUAUUGUCGGGCAUCGAACAAAAACAAAGAACCAUGAUGAAUUCAAGCAUUUGACUAGACGCGAUAAGCGUAACAACAGAAAGUGAGUAGUUAGAGUGCUGCGUGAUUAAACUGAUAAAUUGCUGCGAACGCGAACAGUGAGAAAUCCACACGAACAAUAAUACUUGAGAAUAAACUAUACAAACCGAGUUUUUAAAAUUUUCGAUCACGAAAACAAAACUUUGCCUUUCAAUAAAUGGAGAAGCCUAAUCACAAAGAACUCAGAUUCCAUUCCAAUGAGCACCAAGUGAGUUACAUGUAUCUGAUAAACAAAAUGCUGCUGAAAAUCGAGAAUACCCUACUUCGAAGCCAUCGUCAACGUGAGACAACAGGAAUAAAGGAGCUGUACAAUUCCUUUUUCGUGUUAUUUUAAACAUUUUAUCUGUGAAGCUUGCGAACUAUUUCAUUGAGAUAGCCUUCAGUGUCAAAGCAAAGUAUUUAGUCAACAUAGUAUAUUUGUUACUAGUGUGUUACAAAGCUAUAUUCAUAUUAUCGAUAUUAAGGAGUUAAAUAUAAAAUAAGAGAAAAAAUAAUAGAAAUUAGUGUAAAGCAGCAUCUGGUUAUUAGUAAAAUCAAAGUGUAAAUAGCAUCAAAUAGUAAAAAUAAAUGUUGCAAGAUUCUUGAACCUCAAACUCUUAAAAAUUUCAAAAAUAUGUGUUAAUAGAAUACACACUCUGAAACGCGCUACCCUUUUACUACGAUCAACUUCAUUAGAAAGAUCUAAAGACUUUCUUCGUUGUCUUCUAAAAUUUAAAACUAAUAUCGCGUCGGAAAGAAAUAAUAACAACGUAUGUAUAUGAAAACAUUUGUUCCGGGACUCUAUUAGUUAAUUUCGGUAGUCGAACAUAAAUAUUGCGUUUUAGCCGAGCGUGUGGGUGUGUUUUAAAAUUUUUGGCAUAUUUAUAAAACCGAAUGGCGCUUUCGCUGCUUUCGCAACAUCAGCAGCAGCCAAAUUAUUUCGAUUUGCAAACUUUAUUUGAUCCAUAUCCAUUACAACAACAUCAACAACAACAGCCCCAAUACCCCCAUAACUAUUACCAACAACAAGAUUUGCAACAUCAGCAGCAACAACAAUACAAUAACCAAUUGCAUAUACAGCAGCAGCUGCACCUACAACAUUUGUCGGCGCACAAAAACUCAGGAAUCAACGAUUCGACUUUAAAAACCGAUCCGACAACAGAACCAAUAAGUUUUUGUUCAGAUCAAAUGGAAUACGCCACCAGCAAUCUUCAGCAGAAUCAUUAUCAGCAGCAGCAAAGUAGAAAUAGUAACGAAAAUAUUAACAACACCAAUAUUAAUAGUAAUAGCAGUAUUGGCAAUAGCAAUAACAGAAAGACCAGCAACAUCACGCAUAAUAGCAACAAUAGUCAAAUAUUAAAUAAAACAAACCGUUAUUACGUGAAUGGCUAUUCACAACAUCAAGUAGCAUCAGAUUAUGUCAUCACUUUCGUAGAUUCUCCACCCAAUUCGGAGGAAUCGUGGACCGACGAGAACACAAAAGAAUCGCCUGGACCUCAAAUAAUCGACGUGCAGACAAUUUACUCAAACAGUGGAUCGCGAAAGAGACGAAUGGAUUGGGACUCAUUGGACAUUGGUCAAAGUGGAAACACAACUACUACACAGUCUGGAGGAUUAGCUUCUAAAAUUCCUCAUCACGAUAAAGACAAGGUCAAAAAGGAUAAAACGACAGUUCGCGGCAGUUGGACUGAAGAUAUUGGAUUUGAUUUGAAUACAGACUUCAAUAGUAAUUCUUAUCUCAGCAAUGAAUCCUUUUUAUCAUUCUCCCCGGCCCUGACAGUAUUAAAACAGGAGCCGCAAGCCGAUCAGUUAAAGGCUAAUAAAUGUCCAUUGAAUACUCAUCCUGUCGUAACUGGCAGUGGUGGAAGCGUGCCAAAACUCGAUAAGCCACCAUCACAUAUAGAAACGGCACCAACAAUCGAGGACACACCUAAGAAUGCCUUGAACGACAUUCUCUGCGUAUGUGGUUCGCCAAAAACCGGCACACCACAGGAAAUCGAACACAACGGAAACAAAAUUGACAAGUCCAACGCGGGAGCAUCCAAUGCAUUUGGUAAUGUUGGCUCACCUUACAGUGGCGGCGAAAAAAUAAUUGCACAAGGAAACUCAGCGUCCCAACAACUGACCGAAGUCGAUGGGAGCAAAAUUGAGAACAGUACUGGUGGAGGUGCCGCUAAUGGAAAUAAUACCAACGCGCACUCUGAUGACCAUAAAUUUCAGUACAUUUUGGCAGCUGCUACCUCAAUAGCCACCAAGAAUAAUGAAGAGACGCUUACCUAUCUGAACCAGGGACAAAGCUAUGAAAUCAAGCUUAAGAAGAUCGGUGAUUUAUCGUUUUAUCGUGAUAAAAUAUUGAAGAGUGUUAUCAAAAUCUGCUUCCAUGAGCGUCGCCUACAAUUUAUGGAACGUGAACAAAUGCAACAGUGGCAAGCUUCACGCCCUGGGGAACGAAUUAUUGAAGUAGACGUUCCACUGUCAUAUGGACUAUGUCAUGUAUCACAACCGUUAAAUCCGAACUUCUUGAAUACUGUCGAAAUUUUCUGGGAUCCUUUGAAGGAAGUAGGAGUUUACGUUAAAGUGAACUGCAUUUCAACUGAGUUUACCCCCAAAAAACAUGGAGGAGAAAAAGGAGUGCCAUUUCGAUUACAAAUUGAAACUUAUAUAGAAUCAACCAACCCUACCGGAGGAACAACAGCAUCAGCAAUAUCGGCUGGUGCUUUAUCAAUUGCAUCUACUUCGGUAUCAGGCGGGAUAGCAUCAGCACCUAUCCCGGCCGGAAUUAAUAUACCAUCGGGGAACAACCACUCGCUCGUAAAUGGCAAGCAACCCGUUCAUGCAGCAGCUUGCCAAAUCAAGGUAUUCAAGUUAAAAGGCGCUGAUCGUAAACAUAAGCAGGAUCGCGAGAAAAUUCAAAGGCGCCCUCAAGUAGAGCAAAACAAAUUCCAGCCAAGUUAUGAAUGCACUAUUAUGAACGACAUACCUCUGGAUGUAUUACCACCCACAACAUCGGGUUGCUUUAGCCCUGAAUAUAUGAAGAUUUGGCCCAAUUCACCGGUACACCUUCCCAAGUACGAUGGCAUAUUGCCGUACACUGGCGGAUCAGCUGUUACCAACUCCAGUCCCAUAGCCAUAAAUAGUGUUACUUCAACGAAUUCGCCAACGCUGAAACUAAUGGAAGCUAACAUGGUGUCGCCUCAGCAGUCGGUCACGCCAGACAUGGAUGACUACGCAAUCAACAUUUUACCAGAAUCCUCUCCAAGCCAAGUUGCGCAAUGGCUGAGCCACCAUAGAUUGACCUCUUACCUGUCAACCUUUGCACACUUUUCCGGUUCAGAUAUAAUGAGGAUGUCUAAAGAGGAUUUGGUGCAAAUAUGCGGGCUUGCCGAUGGAAUUCGCAUGUUUAACAUAUUACGCGCUAAAACUAUUGCACCGCGUCUAACACUUUAUGUAAGUUUGGAUGGCAAUAGCUACAAUGCCAUAUACUUGCUAUCGAACACUUCAAAGGAGCUAAUGCAGAAAUUGUGCAAACUGCCUGGAUUCUACGAGAUGAUUGCAAAUGGCAACACAAAUGGACCAUUAGAAAAUGGCUCAAUUUACAGUAGCUGGAGCAUGCACUCAAAAUAUUCCGGCAGUGGUUCAAAUAUUUUCAAUGAUAGCACUAAAAACUUUAUUUUUCUAGCAGGCCCUUCAGGCGUACAUGUAAACGUCACUGACGAGGUAUUAAAUAAUGAGGUGAGAGACGGAAGUCUUUAUGCCCUCGAAGUACAAAACGGUAAAGUUGUUAUGAAAUUGAUAAACAAAAAUGAUAAUUGAAGGCAUAUAAUUGUAAUGCACACAACCCCAUAGAUAUAUAUAAUUGAAUAUUCAUACAUACCUAUUUUCUUUGACUUGAUUCAACAACAAAUAUAUAGUAAUAUAACAAACACAAUAUUAUCAUAAGCCUUUAUUCAUAUAAAUAUGUACUAACAUAUUUUUGUGAAGUUCGAAGGAAAUCAAACGAAUUUUGUUUAUUACUGCAUAUUAGUUUUUAUAACGUAUUUUGAAAAUUAGCCAUAUUUAACCUAGCUUCAUAAAACGAACUUUUCCCAAGAUAUUUCUUUCCGACGAGCGCUACGUAAAUCAUAUUAUGCACAAUAGUAUAUCAACAUACAUACAUAUGUAUAUAUGUACACAUACAUAUAUACCUUGCAACUUAUUGUAUGUAUAAUAUGUGAAAAUAUGUUUUAUUUAUUCUUAGUAUUUUUUUUUUGCAUGCGUUACCUAUAAAGCAAGUUUAAACUUAAAAUAAAAGCGGGCCAAACACUAUCAUCACUUUUAUUGAGACACAAUUACUAACAACCAAAUAUGUUAAAUAUAAAAAAUUACCAAGAUUAUAAGCUUCAGCAUUGCUUAAAUGUACGCCGUUGUAGUCAAAACUAUAUUUUCAUACAUAUAUACAAACAUUCUUAAUUGUGUAUCUGUUAUAAUUUUAAAAUUACAUAAUAUUAAAAAAAUACGGCGAAGAAAUAAACAAACGGUCUGUAAACAAUGCUGUGUUUAAAUCUACGUUUUAAAAAGCGUAACUGUAAAAAAUCGGAAAAUUAAAGGCACUUUAAUCUUCUUUAAAAUCUAAACCAAAUAAUUUUUAAGUUUAUCAUUUAAUUUCAUUAAAGAUACUCUCUGAGUUUCAUUAAGGUACCUCACAAAUAUAUAAUAUAAGAAAUAAAAGCAACCGAAUGUGUUGAAAAUCAUAUUAGUUAUAAGGAUACUACUCACAUAUUUGUCGAUAUAUGCGGUAUAAAGUCAACCUGAAGUUUGAAAAUCUUUCUAUUAGGUAUAUGGAGGCUAAGGGAACUAUUGACCCGAUAUAUUCUAUAAAAAGUUAAGGAAAGUAUUGACGAGAAAAAAAUAUCUCUGAAUUUACAUAAUACAUCUCACAGAUUGAACGAUAUUUCGGGUAAAAAGUCAGUCACGGUUACUAGGGUCCACAUAUUCGUAAUCUGGGGCUCGAAAAGUUAUUAUCCGAUUUCAUCAAUUUUUUAUACUUAAGACCCUAAAUGCACUAUUUGUGCAAAGUUUUAAUUCGAAUGACAUUUAAUAUAUUAUAACUUAAGAAUUUGAAAUUGAUCGAGUAGGUCUUGAAAUAUACGUUUUUAUCUAAAUACGGGCGAAGCUACGUCCAUUGUGAAAUUAUUACCAGUUCCUAUAAAGCGCUUUCGUGCCAUCUCGGUUGAAAAAUGUAUACCCCUAUUACAGUUUUCAACUCCACUCAGUUGAAUUGAAGUAUUCAAAUUAAACACAUUUUUGGUAUUACGAACUUCAACUCUCUUCAGCCGAACUUUCAUUGCGGUUGCCAGCUGCUGAAAAUCUUUAAAAGGUAAAGAAAAAACAAUUCAAUUCCGUUAUUGCUCACGAAAAGGUGAAUAAUUAUUAAUAUCGACAUUAGUUUUGAUUUAUAUUACGAUGACAAAAAUGUAGGGGUCAAAACUGAUGUGCAGCGCAUACGAAAAAGCCUUCGUGGUCACUUAAAUCCAUUAUAUCUUCCGAACACCAAGUAAGCCGAUGUUUUAUUGACAGUUAAAUUACUUUUAAAUAUUGUUUGUUGCAGAUUUAAAAGUUAUUUUCGUUUAAACAGAGAAGCAUUUUGAUUUUGCUUAAUGAGAUGAAGGAAAAUUUCCACAAACUCUCCGUUUCCUUGUUGACGGUAGUUAUCAAAAAACAGUUUAAGUAAUUUAAACUUUGGACUGGCGCAAUCUAUGAUAUCUAUGGUUGCUAAUAGCUAUGUUUCAUGAAAUACUACGAUGAAAUAUGAUAGUAUUGUUACCAGCAAUGCUAAUAUUUGGUGGUACAUAUUUGGUUUUCGUUCGUAGUAUGGUAUUGUUACCACAUGUCUAUCACAGGCAUAAGGUGGUUUUAAAUAUUAUAAUCACCGUAUUUGUGCGCAGUGGUAUAAAACACAAAUGGCUUAAGAAGAGCAAAACGUUUCAAAAAUAUAAUUGUACUCAAAAAGUACAUAAAUAUUUUCCUAGGGAUAGUAGAUUGUAUUGACUCUUAAUGUUUGUAACAUUUCCCACGGCCAUUUAAUUUUUACCGUUUCGAAAUAGCGGCAUUUCUAGUCUAGUUUCGCGAUUGUUCUCAACGAACUCAACAAAUUGUUCGCCUUUCUAUAUACUCGUAUUUGUACAAAAGAAGCGAUAAAAAUAAAAAAAAAAUUGUUUGUUUUUACCCUUUUCAAUUUUCUGAUAAUUAAACUUUCAACUGCUUGGUAUAAAAAAGAAAAAUAAAUAUUUGUUUCCUUUAAAUGUAGAUAGAUAGAUAGAUAAAUGUAGGAGGAUGUGUGCUGUAAAAAAUCCUGCUUGCUGUCGCUGCAGAUUACAAUAUGAUGGUUAAUUGGUGUUCUGCUUGAAGUGGAAUUAUUUCCCUUAUUUCUGCUGCUUUUUUUUGGAUGUAACGAUCUUUCCUUUUCCUUUCUCAUCUUCCAUUAUUUUUAAUCGAUUUUUAUUUUGCGAAAGCUAUAUAACUUCGUGAAGCGGACGGAGGUCAAAUAGGCCUUUUAGUGCCACUGUUGAGCAUGUCUUAUUGUAGCCUGUUAUACAGGCGCACGCCCUUCUUUGGAGUUUUGCCAGUGCCGUUAUGGCUGAGUUUAGUUUUACUCUUUCCGACCAGGUAAUUGCUCCAUAAGUUAUUACCGUUUUUACUAUUCUAGUAUAAAUCCAGCGGAUUAUCUUGGAUGUACAUCCCUAUAUCUUUCCAGCUAUUCUUCUGCUUAUCAUCAAUGACCUUGUUGCUUUACUGAUCGCUUGGUCCAUGUGCCUUUUCCACGUUACUCUGGAAUCAAAAGUUACCCCUAGGUAUUUCGUUUCGAGAAGAGUUUCUAUUAUGCUAUUACUUAUUCGUAUAUUUUUCAUAUUUAUUUCAUGACUAUGUAAAUGGCACUAUAGCGGUCUUUGCAGGAAUUAUGCUUAGUCCUGCUUCCAAACACCAUUUCUUUGUUCUCUAUAUAUUGUGUUUUCGGAUUUUCCUACUGUUAUUAUUACGAUGUCAUCUGCAUAUCCUUGGGAUCUUAUGCCGUUAUUUGUCAGAAUAUCUAGCACAUCGUCUACGAGGUAGGGUAGUCCUUUUUGCCUGGUUUGGGGAUAAACAUGCUUUCUCUCAUGAUGUGGACCAGCACGGAAAUUAGUUGUUGUUCUCCAUUCUGUAGGAGUGCUGGCCAUAUUCCAUCUAUAACUGGUGAUGGUAUUUCUCAAAGGAGUUUACUGCUCACUGUAUCGUUCUGUAGCUAAUUGUCUUUUUAGAUAACGAUCAUGUAUCGGUUGUUGGGAUUGGAUAUUCCCUAUGACUGUUUAAGGUACUUGCUGUGGAGCCUGGAAAGUGUAUCUUGAGUAGAGUUAUCGCUCGUUCUAUUUCAUUCCUUGUGUAUUCGUUGUUUCCUAGCUUUAAUGCCAUUUUCCUUUUGUUGUAUCUUUUGCUAGGGCCUUAUGUAAUUUAGAUGCUUCUGGUAUCGAUGAUAUGCUUUCGCAGAAGAAGAAAUGUAAAAGUAACAGAAAACUUUCACGGGCCUCAUCUAGCACCAGCAGGUUUCUUUUCCCAACUCGCGCUAUUCGCCCUGAUAUAGUAAAAAUCUCAUAAUAAUAUUGAAUUAUUGUUGUUUUUUUUAAUAAAAACAAUUAUAUCAUUAAACAGAAAGUACAAAAUUAGCCUUCCCUUGUGACUCUCGACGCUCUAUCAAAAUAUAGACACAAUCAUUGUUCAACCAAUAUCACCAAAUUUGUCUAUUCAUAGAGAUAGCUUGAAAGAAGUAUCAAACAAUUUCAUGAAUAUCAAGAAAAUGAAUAUAAAUGUGUUGUUUAUUUUUAUUACCCCGGUAUUGGUGAGAUUUUAACAUAUAAAACCGAACUCAGGUAUCCACGAUUUGCCUCAAAAUUAUUUCGCAUAGUAUCAUUGCAGUACUUAUCAUGUGUUUUGAAGUUAAUAUUUUGGUCUCAUUGGUCUUUGUGGCUAUGAAUACUCGUAUGUAUAUAUAGCGACACCAACCCAUAUUCGGACAAGGGUUCACUCAAAGUAUAUGUUCCAUAUAAUGGAACAUGUUUACAUAUAUUAUAUUUAACGAUUUUUUUUCACAUUUAUUCAAAAUUCAAAGUUACUCCUCAUUGAUAAUUACAAAAACACAUAAUAUUAUUGAGCACACAUAAUUGAACAAAGCAAAAAGUUUCGGUAUUGUAUUCUCGCAACUUGUUGCAAAAGAUGAUAAAGUUUCGUUCACCUAACGAUUGUUUAUAGGAGUAUAUCUUAAAACUAAAAUAGUUAUAUAUUGUAUUAUGACCUAAAAUGCAAAACAACGUAUUGUCAAAAAAUUUAGUUUUUUAUUGAUUAAUAUUCGGUACAUAAUAUUACAUAUACGAAGUCUUAUUUUCUCAGACUGUGUGAAAAUGGAUGAAAUCAGAUGACCCACCCAUCCACUCCAUAUAAGGGUACGUUGAAAACUACUAAAAGUGCGAUAACUCACUAAUUAAAUUUCACAGCCAUAUGGUACUUAAAGCUUUCAUUAGAAUUCGUAUAAAAAAUGGAUAAAUGGCUUGGCACCCCCCACUUUUAGGUGAAAUCCUGCGAAAAUCGGAAGUACAAGCUCACUUUUAAGUCAAGUUGUAAAUUGCGUAUUAAAUAUUUAUUUACACCCGAACAAGGCUUUCCUUUCCUAAGUUUGAUAAGGACAGUUAGAACUUCUUUACGUAUACAUAAUGUGUAUAUUAGGAUGGGCCAAAACAUAAAAUUACUACACAAUAAUUUGUUCAAAUGCAUUAACCAUCCAAAGAAAAUAUAAAAAUAUUCCUGUGUUAUUUAUAUGGGAAAUCACAACUCACAAUGCACCACCUAUUGAUAUAAAUAUUAAGAGUUGAAACCUAACCAUAUUUUUUUCGACAGAUUUGACAAUAUUUUCACGGUUUCUAAUGAAAAAAUUGUAAAGUUAAAAAAGUUGUGCAAAAAACCCUAGUGUAUACCGUGCUUUCGAAAAGUAACGUUUUUCCUUUGCGUGAUCAAUUCAUGGACAAUUUUUUUUAUUUUUAUUUUUUUUUUUGCAAAUUAACAUAUGUUCAAUAGUGACCACUUUGACACGAACAAUUUGCUCAGUCUUUUUUCGAUCUUCUUAAUGUGACACGUUGUGCCGUGAAAAAGUGAGUGCACAGUAUAAGAAACGUUUUGAAGCACCCUUUCCAACGAAGCGUCUUUAAGAUCCCAAAUGGAUUAUUAAAAAAACUGCAAAAUAUUUAGGUCAAGUAAAAAGUUCGUUCGGUUUUUAUCUAAGAGAUGGCGUUAUUGUCCAUAGUACUAGUGUUACACGUCGCAUCAUGUCAUACUAUACGGCGCUGUAAACGUGUUUAUUCGCGCUAAAAGUUUGUCCGUUUGUUUGACAGUUUUUCGAUUGAUUUACUCAGUUCGUGUGAGCGCUCGUCAAAGAUGGACACCAACAAAGAGAAAAUUCGCUAUAUUUUAAAAUUUUUCUUCGAUCAAAGCGAAAAAGCAGCCAAAGCGGCUGAAAACAUUAAAUUAGUUUAUGGGCAGGAUACUGUAAACGAACGUGUAGCACAAAAGUGAUUUGCUAGGUUCCGUUCCGGUAAUUUCGAUGUCAAAGAUGCACCACGCGUCGGGAGGCCUGUCGUCGAAAAUUGCGAUAAAAUCAUGGAAAUAGUGGAAACAGACCGUCACGUGAGCACUUAUUUAAUUGCUGAGGAACUAAAGAUAAGCCAGAAAACCGUCUGGAACCAUUUGCAAAACCUUGGAUUCAAAAAGGAGCUCGAUGUUUGGGUGUCACACGAACUAACGCAAAAAACAUGAUGGACUGAAUUUCCAUCUGCAAAUCGCUGCAGAAUCGCAACAAAAUCGACCCGUUUCUGAAGCGGAUUGUGACUGGCGAUGAAAAAUGGGUCACUUAUGACAACAUCGAGCGCAAACGGUCGUGGUCAAAGCUCGGGGAAGCAGCCCAGACGAUGGCCAAACCGGAUUGACGGCCAGGAAGGUUUUGCUGUGUGUUUGGUGGGAUGGGCAAGGAAUCAUCUACUUCGAGCUGCCCCCCUAUGGCCAAACGCUCAAUUCGGCCCUCUACUGCCAACAACUGUACCGCUUGAAGGCAGCACUCAUCCAGAAGAGGCCAUCUUUGAUCAACAGAGGCCGAGUUGUGUUCCAUCAGGACAACGCCAGGCCACACACGUCUUUGGUGACUCGCCAGAAGAUCCUGGAGCUCGGAUGGGAGGUUCUAAUGCACCCACCUUAUAGUUCGGCUCUGGCACCAAGUGAUUACCAUCUUUUCCUCUCCAUGGCGAACGCGCUUAAUGGUGAGAAGCUGCCAUCUUGGCUCUCCGAGUUUUUUGGCAAUAGGGACGCAGUCUUCUACGAGAGGGGUAUAAUGAAGUUGGCAUCUCGUUGGGUUUUGAAGUGCUUCACGAAAACCUGAACACCGUUAGAAUGAUAUAAUUGUAUAAAAAGAGUUUUGUGAAGUCAACUGAAAUGGUUUACGGCAAAAAAUAACCAUAAUCCAAUAGAGAAUAUUUGGGCUUUAAUAAAAACCAAAAUAUCAAGAAAACAUUUAACGUCAACAAAACAUUUCAUUCGACUAUCUGGAGGUCACUUACUAUGCAAUAUAAAAUAUAUGCAGAAAAUUAAUUCCAAGUUGCCAUGAAGGAUGUCAGACUAUAAAAGACAACGUGGGAGAUUGGAGUAUAGAAUAAAAGUCAGCUAUAAUAAAACAAUGUUUUUUUCUAUAAUUACAACAUUUUCCCAAUAUACGCUACCUACACUUUGGAAAACUAAAACGUUAUUUAUUGAACGCACUGUAUAUUUCUAUUUACUUAAAUACUUAUUAUUAUACUAAAUACAUUUACUAUACACAUGCAUAUAUGUAUAUUAUUGUGUUACAUGAAAAUAAUGUGAGAUGCAUUAAAGCACUAAUUACAUUUUAAUUAUGAAAGUCAAUGUUGAAAACAAUAUCAAUACACACUUCAACCAAUUUAAACGCCAAUGACAUCAUCGUAAAAAAACUAGUUACUUUUUAUGGUCUGUUUCUUUUAAAGAUAGAGAAUAAGAAAAUAGGGCAGACUCAAAUUUUGAAUACCUUUGUAAUUCCAAUUUAUUUUAAGUUUGUCAUUAACGAGUAAAGUAAAACUUAGCCCAUAAAUUCGGGCGGCAAUCGAACAUUAAAUACUUAUUGUAUAUUGCAAAUAUCAGUUUGAGUUAUCGUAUAACCAAAAAAGUAGGGCCCAAAAUUAGACUUAAAAUAUUAUAACCAAUUGUUACUAAGUUAUAUUGUAAUUGCUAAUUUCCCAACAAAUAAUGCAUGAGUAGCAGACGAUGUCAUUAGCAACAUUAUUAACCUACGUCAUUCCUUUGUAUAAAAGUCGGUUACAAUUCGCUUAUUAAACUAGUUUGCCUUGGAAUUAUGGACGACGCCAAAGGAAUUGUAUAUUCAUUUUAUAAAGUACAAUAUUUAUUUUUCAAGUUGUUAGGACUCUUCGAUUUGCCCGCGCACUACUCAUCAUUUUGGCAUUAUAUGUAUAAACUGUACUUUUGGCAUGUAGCGAUCUUUUGGAUGCUACUUUUCGAUAUCAGCAUGUGGAUUAAAAUAGUCGGCAACAUAUCGAAUCUGAACGAGAUAAUAAAAGUGUUUUAUCUUUGCUCAAUGGCUAUUGCGGUAAUGGCUAAAUUUGUGCGCAUUCGCUUAAAAAACAGUUCAUAUGUAGCAUUAUUCGCGCGUAUCCACGACGACGACCUGCUGCCGGUCAAUGUAUCUGAACUAGAGAAAUACACUCAAUCUUCACAUUUAAGCUGUAGAGUACGCAACAGUUACACGUAUCUUUCGUUAACAUCACUAUCGCUGAUUUUCAUUACGCAGAUUAUAUCGGAGCCUAGCGAACUACCUCUAUCUAUUUAUAUACCCAUAAGCGUGGAGAACUUUUGGUGCUAUUUAAUAGCAUAUUUGUUUCAGUUUAUUGGUUUAUCCCUAUGUUGUUUGCUUAAUAUAUCUUUCGAUUCUUUAAGUUCAUCAUUCUUCAUAUAUUUGAAAGGUCAGUUAGACAUUUUAGCAAAUCGGUUAGAAAAUAUCGGCACCAAUCUGUACGUGGAUGAUAAUAUGAUAAACCUACAGUUAAGAGAUUGCAUCCAACAGUAUGUAAAACUACGGAAUAUUACCGAAAUCAUGGAAGAGCUUCUAAGCAUUCCAAUGUCUGUACAAAUGAUCAGUUCGGUACUCGUACUUGUAGCUAAUUUUUACGCAAUGACGUUUCUAACCGACCCCAGUGAUUAUGUUACCUUCAUAAAAUUUCUAGUCUAUCAACUAUGUAUGUUAGCCCAAAUUUUUAUGCUGUGUUAUUUUGCAAAUGAAGUGUCGCUCAGAAGUGCAGAGCUAUCAUACUCUUUGUACUCGUCCGAAUGGACUCGGUGCAGUCAAACCAAUCGACGUAUGAUGUUAUUGAUGAUGGCACAGUUUGAUGUACCCAUUCGAAUCAAAACAAUAAAUCGUUGCUAUUCUUUCAAUUUGCCAGCUUUUACGUCGAUAGUCAAUUCCUCAUAUAGCUACUAUGCCCUGCUGAAGAAAAUGAAGGACUAAAUACAAUUCAAUAAAUUUGCAUGUAUGAAUGUCAAUAUAUAUGUAUAUACAAAUACAAAACUUAAAUAAAUUUUUGAAAAACU